AUGAAACGUUUGUUCCAGUGGGCGUUCUUCAACGAGGACGUGUCACUGUCAUGCAGUUCCCCCGGUCGAAGCCGCCUCGUACUUCGGCGGUCACGCAAGCGGAAGACCCGGAUUCUCCUCACUGCCAAAUUAAUAUUCCCUAUUGAAACGCCGCGGGAAAACCGCACAAAGGAUUUCAGAGCCGUGACGUUCCGAAAACUGACGACAGCCAGUCACGCAGAAGGAGCAGCAGAAGGAGCACGUGUGGGGCAUUAACACAAUUUCUCAGAGAAAACGCAAGUUUCUACAGACUGGUUUGUGCACAGUUUGUCUUCAGCAAGACUUCACAAACAAGACUUAAGAUUCACAGAGGAACAAGCUAACUGAGCCAAACUGUACUGUCUUUGCUCCGUUGGUUGAAAUUGCACUAGUACAAGUACAUACCCUUUCACGUGCAGAGAUAUUUUGACAAAAGAUCUUCAGCUGACCUUAGUCUCCUCUAACCUCUGCUCCGCCACGUGAAGAAGAGUUCAGGAAAUUCAGUAGACAAUAGAAGGAGGUUUUGUUAGUUAUAGCGAUAAACUCGUAUAAAUGCACACCUUGCCCUCUACACAAAGAAUUAACAAUAACAAAUAAGAGCUAUUCUCGAGGCAGGGUGUUAAAGAACAUUCGAAGACAAGAAAAAGAGAUCUGUUAAAGUGCAUUUACCUAUAGGUAUUCAUAUUAUGACCAUUACUAAUUUCAGUCAGCAGCACAAAUAGGACAACUCCUAUUUUCAAAGAGGGCAACACUCGGCAAUAUACAGAGAAGCACAUGCAAAGAUAAUACAUUUGCUUUUUAAGUCCUAAGUAACAAGGUUGUUAUAAUACUUAGUCUGUAGAAAAGAGGGAGGACAGGAGACUGCUAACGCAGUUUCUGCUGUAAAGCAUCCAGACGAUGUCCCUUUAUUGCAGGCAGCUUCUCGAGAUCUGUUUGCAUCCGUUUCUGCUAGAGAGUGAAAAACGUGUGUUUAAAUGCAUUAGAAAGAGGCAGACAACAUCCUCUGGUGCUUCUGUAGCACACGCAGUAAAUCAAUCCACUUUUUUCCUCGCAUAGCACACUAAAUAUUAAAAAGUUAUCCAAAUAAAGAUUCAAGCUCUGACUCCGCA
RNAcentral lists this long non-coding RNA (1127 nucleotides) under Phasianus colchicus (ring-necked pheasant). Its description in RNAcentral is "lncRNA (ENSPCLG00000012772.1)". Lineage: Eukaryota; Metazoa; Chordata; Aves; Galliformes; Phasianidae. The record is from RNAcentral.